AUAUAUAUAUAUAUAUAUAAUUGGGCUGGAAUACUAUUGAUAGUAUUUAGGCUCUUUUGCUAUCGAGUUUUUAACCAUUGGAAGAAAAAUUAUAGUAUUUGGAUGAUAGUGGUCCCCUAGAGUUUAGUGGUGAUCCCUUUAGGGUUGAGUGGGUGGUUGGUUGAAUAAUAUGAUCUAAAGAGUAUAAUUGAUUAAAGUAUAGAUCUAACGGCUAAAAAUUCGAUAGCAAAAGAGUCCAAAUACUAUUAAUAGCAUUCUAGCUCAACUCUCUUUCUCUCUCUCUCUCUCUCUCUCUCUCUCUCUCUCUAUAGUAGAGCUACUAUACUAUCGGAAGCAUAGAGGAUUUGGUGUUUUUGACUUUCUGCCCUUAGAUCAGCCUCUUUAAUCAUUUCUAACAUUUGACUUAAUACUAUUACCCUCUGGGGACCACUUAACCCUCGGGUUACUACUCAACCCUAAGGGGGACCGCAAUCAUCCCAACUGUACAAUUCUUAAUCCAAGGGUCAAAAAAUCAAAAGCAUCAAAUCCUCUAUACGUCCAAUAACACAGUAGCUCUAUAAUAUAU
This 565-nucleotide long non-coding RNA is filed under the name Ananas comosus (pineapple). Its description in RNAcentral is "long non-coding RNA (ACOM_LNC011773)". The record is from RNAcentral. Lineage: Eukaryota; Viridiplantae; Streptophyta; Magnoliopsida; Poales; Bromeliaceae.